Molecule: long non-coding RNA, 321 nt
Organism: Oncorhynchus tshawytscha (Chinook salmon)
Lineage: Eukaryota; Metazoa; Chordata; Actinopteri; Salmoniformes; Salmonidae
Source: Ensembl
AGUGAUGGUGAGGUUGGGUAAUGUGUUAUGAAUAGUGGUGGUGAGGUUGGGUAAUGUGUUAUGAAUAGUGGUGGUGAGGUUAGGUAGCAGGUUAUGAAUAGUGGUGGUGAGGUUGGGUAAUGUGUUAUGAAUAGUGAUGGUGAGGUUGGGUAAUGUGUUAUGAAUAGUGAUGGUGAGGUUGGGUAGCAGGUUAUGAAUAGUGGUGGUGAGGUUGGGUAAUGUGUUAUGAAUAGUGGUGGUGAGGUUGGGUAAUGUGUUAUGAAUAGUGGUGGUGAGGUUGGGUAAUGUGUUAUGAAUAGUGGUGGUGAGGUUAGGUAGCAG